UCAAGGACUGGGAAUCAUGCAUUCACUAAAGAAGCAUCUACAAAGAUAAUAGGAUUCAGAUUUCUGUUUAUAGACCACAAAUUCUGAGCACAGCAUUCUCCAUGAUGUGCUCAAGGCCCGGCAUGGGAGGCUUCAUCUGUGCAUACGAGUCUUCUGCUUUACCAAAAUGUAGGAAUGAUCAUUAUCCCUUCAUGCCUAUUCAAGUGCUGGCUCGAUUGGAUAAUUCGAUACUUAGGAUUCAUUUCAAGUCCCCAUUGCUGUCUGUGUUGACUUGAGAAUGCUGUAAGCAUCUACUGUAAUCGUCUAGAAUUAAGGGUGAUAGUGUGUUUCCAAGGAGAAAUGUUUCUGAUGAAUUCACUGUAGACCUUUCAUUACUGCCACAGUGUAAUUUUCAAAAAGGUAAAUGCAAGUUUCUCAUAUAAGUAUAAAAUGAACACAUGACAGAUUUUAUUUAGCAUAUUAGUUAAUUGGGGAACUUAUAAGAUAUUAAAACCAGCACAUUUUUAUUUAUGUAUGUAUGUAUGUACUUAUCUAUCUGCAGUAGAGUCAACGUACAAUGUUACACUGGUCUCAGGUGCACAACAUAGUGAAACCAACACAUUUCAAGUGCUCUGUGUCCACAUGUGGCUUGUAGCAAUCAUAUUGGACAGUGCAGAUAAAGAACAUUCCCAUCACUACAGAUGAUUCUUUUGGAGAUCAUUGCUUUAGAUAAUAGUAAGUU
Long non-coding RNA from Herpailurus yagouaroundi (jaguarundi), 721 nucleotides. RefSeq lists it as uncharacterized. NCBI's taxonomy places the organism in Eukaryota, Metazoa, Chordata, Mammalia, Carnivora, Felidae. The record is from RefSeq and is a predicted model, not a curated record. The transcript is spliced from 3 exons.